AUGAUGAUGAUUGGUUCCAUCUCGCCCAUACCGGCACCUCCUACUUCUUCUGUUGCAACACAUUCUAAGCAUAUUGGCAUCAUCACUCCUCCUCCAGAAGUAGAAAGAAUCAUCAACAAAACUGCCGAGAACGUUGCGAAAUAUGGUCCAGAGUUUGAGAAGAUGGUCAUCAAUGACAAGAUUAAACUAAAUCCAGAUCCUAAAUUCAGCUUUUUGAAAUCCUUACAUCCCUACCAUGCAUAUUAUCAGAAAAAGGUGGCCGAAAUCCGUGCUCAGCUUGAUCAGUCUUCUGAAGAGCCAGCUCCGGUUAUAGAUGUUGUACCAAAGCCUGAUUCCCUCCCCCAGGUCAGACAUGAAUGCAAAGUGCCUGAACAACCAGAACCCGAAGAGUAUACUGUUCGGCUUCCUCAAGGAAUUAGUGGAGAAGAACUUGAUGUUAUUAAGCUCACAGCACAAUUUGCAGCUCGGAAUGGCCAGUCGUUUCUGUCAGGAUUGAGGAGUAACCCCCAGUUCUAUUUUCUCAAUCGUAAUCAUAGCUUGUUCAACUUUUUCACUUCUCUAAGGGAUGCAUAUGCAAAGGUGUUGAUGCCACCGGAAGGGUUGACAGAGAAGCUGAAGAAGAGGGUGAGAGACAUGACCAGUGUGCUAGAACGAUGUGUGAAUCGGCUGGAGUGGGAGCAUUAUCAGAAGCAGUCAAAGCAGAAGGUCGAAGAUGAGAUUGAGCAGGAAAGGAUACAAAUGGCUGCAAUUGAUUGGCAUGAACAUGUUGUGGUGGAUGUAAUAGACUUUGAUGAUGAGGAGGACGGCUGCUUACCUCCUCCACUGACCCUUGAAGAGGUUAUAAGGAGAAGCAAAGUUGUUACAUAUAUGGAAGCAGAUGAUACUGUCAAGGAGUCGGGAAAUCUAGUCGAAAUGGAUUUGGAUGAAGAAGAGAUGCAGCUUGUUGAAGAGGGCAUGGAAGUAACAGAGGUGGAACACCCACCAAUGAGAAUUGUGAAGAACUGGAAGAGACCUGAGGAGAGGAUGAUCCUAUCCAGUGCCGAAAGAGACAUGACGAUUUCCCCUAUUACUGGGGAGCUUGUCCCUAACAGUGAGAUGUCUGAGCACAUGAGGAUUUCUCUCAUUGAUCCAAGAUACAAAGAACAAAAAGAAAGGAUGUUUGCGAAGAUUCGGGAGACUAGUCUUGUUCUUGCACAGGACGAAGAGAUCUCAAGAAACAUUGUGAACCUAGCGAGAACCCGUCCUGAUAUAUUUGGUUCCACAGAGGAAGAAGUUUCCAGUGCUGUCAAGGCUGCGAUUGAAAACAAGGAAAAGCAGCAGGUCAUAUGUGACGACCACGCUGGACGCAUUGGCCAUGUAGCAAAUCAUGCCAUGUCACAGUAUACCAAUGGAAAGGAUAACAAUGGUGGUGUGAACAAUGCUGCAGUCAAUCUUGCUGUGAAUCUUCCUUUUGUUCCUGCAUACACAGUUCAGUAUCCAUGUACAAAUAGCAUUGGUCUCCCUGUCCAAUUUCCAUUGCUUGGUCCUACUAUACCAACAAUGUUUAUGCCUGCAGCUAGUAUACCUGUACCACCUCCUCCUGUUACUGAUUUUACAACAAUGCAGAUGGCUUAUAUUCCUCCACCUACAGAUAUGACGCCUCCACAGCCUUUGCCUCAAGCACGGCCACCAACACCUCCUCAUCCAGAACCUAAGCCAAAGAGACAGAAGCUUGAUAAUUCCAUGCUUAUUCCAGAAGCUGAAUUUCUUGCACAGCAUCCGGACCGGUAUGCAUCAAUAUAUCUGUUCCCAAUGUUGAUGAAGUUAACCUCAAAGGACAACUUUUGGAGAUCACAGUGCAGUCUCUGUCUGAAACUGUUGGCGGUCUGAAAGAGAAAAUCUCUAGGGAAAUCCAGCUUCCGGCAAACAAACAAAAAUUGAGCGGAAACCCGGGCUUUCUCAAAGACAAUUUGUCCCUUGCAUAUUACAAUGUUGGCGCAGGACAAACACUAGGUCUCACAGUAAGAGAGCGCGGUGGAAGAAAGAGAUGA
This is an RNA transcript of Fragaria vesca subsp. vesca, 2030 nucleotides long. It is a transcript of the gene named probable splicing factor 3A subunit 1-like, with no coding region annotated. The transcript has a single exon. NCBI's taxonomy places the organism in Eukaryota, Viridiplantae, Streptophyta, Magnoliopsida, Rosales, Rosaceae. The record is from RefSeq and is a predicted model, not a curated record.